UGCAAGUCGAGCGGAAACGACACUAACAAUCCUUCGGGGGCGUUGAUGGGCGUCGAGCGGCGGACGGGUGAGUAAUGCCUAGGAAAUUGCCUUGAUGUGGGGGAUAACCAUUGGAAACGAUGGCUAAUACCGCAUAAUGCCUACGGGCCAAAGAGGGGGAUCUUCGGACCUCUCGCGUCAAGAUAUGCCUAGGUGGGAUUAGCUAGUUGGUGAGGUAAUGGCUCACCAAGGCGACGAUCCCUAGCUGGUCUGAGAGGAUGAUCAGCCACACUGGAACUGAGACACGGUCCAGACUCCUACAGGAGGCAGCA
RNAcentral lists this ribosomal RNA (311 nucleotides) under uncultured Vibrio sp. RNAcentral's name for it is "bacterial SSU rRNA". It matches the Rfam family "Bacterial small subunit ribosomal RNA", at positions 56 to 353 of the family's 1533-position model. Lineage: Bacteria; Pseudomonadati; Pseudomonadota; Gammaproteobacteria; Vibrionales; Vibrionaceae. The record is from RNAcentral.